This 1562-nucleotide long non-coding RNA is filed under the name Sus scrofa (pig). RNAcentral's name for it is "lncRNA (ENSSSCG00025044240.1)". The record is from RNAcentral. Lineage: Eukaryota; Metazoa; Chordata; Mammalia; Artiodactyla; Suidae.
CACAGCGGAAUCGAAUCUGAUGAGGAACCGUGAGGUGGCUGGUUCGAUCCCUGGCCUCGCUCAGUGGGUUAAAGGUCCGGUGUUGCCAUGAGCUGUGGUGUAGGCUAUAGAUGCAGCUUGGAUCUGGAGUGGCUGUGGCUGUGGUGGAGGCCAGCAGCUAUAGCUCCAAUUGGACCCCUAGCCUGGGAACCUCCAUAUGCCGGGGGUACGGCCCUAAAAAAAAAAAAAAAAAAAAAAGAAAAGAAAAAGAGAGAAGUAGUAUAGGUUUAUACGAACAUGUCUAAUUUUCGUCCAAUUUUUUUUUUUUUUUUGGCCAUGCCUGUGGCACGGGAAAAUUCCCAAGCCAGGGAUCAAAACUGUACCAGCCACCCAAGCUGCUGCAGUGACUCAGCUGGAGCCUUAACCCAAUGUGCCACAAGAAACCCCUUGGCUUCCUCUGAACAGGUCAAGUUUGUAGCCCCUGUGACAGAGCCUCCAUAUACUGUGGGUGCGGCCCUAAAACGACAAAAAAAAAAGGUCCCUGAUAUAUUUUUGAUUUUAUAUAUUUUAUAUAUAUGUGUGUGUGUGCAUGUGUAUAUGUAUAUACAUAUGCAAUUGUCUAUCCCUAUAGGUUUUCUUUUAACGGAUACAGUUCAUGCAGAAAAAUAAUCUAAUGUUCCUAGUUCUCUGUGGUGUGGGUCGCAGACGCAGCUCGGAUCCCGUGUGUCUGUGGCUGUGGUGCAGGCCGGCAGCUGGAGCCCUGAUUCGACCCCUAGCCUGGGAACCUCCAUACGCUGCAGGUGCGGCCCUAAAAAAAANNNNAAAAAAAAAAAAAAAAAAAAAAAGAAAGAAAGAAAGAAAGAAAGAACAAACGCACUGGAAGGUAAGGUAUGAGGCUUGCGGGGCUUUGAGCAGAUGUUGGCGGAGAUUACAGUCUCCUCUGGAAGUUCAGCCGAAGAAGGAUCCAAGCUUACUCCUGUGGUUGUCGGCAGGAUUCAGCUCAUCACAGGUUGUGGGACCAGGGGCCUCAUUUUCUCACUGGCCAUUGGCCAGAGGCACCCGUGGUUAUUUGUCACAUGAGCUUCUCCCUAGAGAAGUUCACCUCAGAGCAGCUGACGUCCGUCAGAGCAAGCAAAGGAGGUGCCAAGGAAGGUGAGCCGGGCGGAAGCAGAGUCGCUUUGGAACGGAAUCUCCGAAGUGACAUCCCACCACUUACGUUCUCUUUGUUAGAAGGAAGUUACUAAAGUCAGCCAACGCGCAAGGGGAGGGGAUUAUAAAAGGGCAUGGGCACCACAAGCAAGGAUCACUGGCGGCGUCUUUGAAGCCGACCACCAUAGCCUUUCAAAGCGAUAAAAGGCCCUGGAUGCAUCUUCAGCAUGUGCUGUAAACACCCUCUCUUUGAAGAAACUAGAACGUCUAAUCAUCUUUUUCCCCCCAUAGCAUCUUCACAGAGAAGAUGUGUGAGCGUGGCUUUUGCCUGAUGCAGUGUGCCCAACCUAGUGGAUCAUGAAUUCCUACAUAGGAAACUCACAAAGUGUUUCAAGGAAAUGUGUCCGCUUGGAAUAAAGACACAGAGGUAAACA